GUGCCCUCCUAGACAUUACAAAUUUUGUGCUAUACAGAGAUUUAUAGUAAUGGUUGUUAUCUUAUGUAGUUGUUUUGUAAUGCUUUACAGGUGUUGGAAACAUUUCUUAAAGACGACUUUAUAUCUCAAUCAAGGAUUAAUUCAGAGGUCGGUACUUUGAUCUGCAUUAAAGUUGUAGUUGUAGGUGUAUGUCAGUAAUUUGUGUUCCAUUUCAUGAAUAAGAUACAUAUUAAUUUUGUUUAUAUACACAUGUGGGGAAUUAUAAUUUAGCUUGUUAUUCAACUUUGUUCACAGUACAUUUCUCUUUAUUUUCUUACAUAUAUAUGUGAAUGUGAUAAGGAACACAUGUUCUGACAAUACUCUAAAUUAAUCUGAGUUAUUUAUUGGGUGGAAAUGUUGUAAUUGCAGCUAUUUGCAGAUGGUGUCAUCCAAUUUGAGUAUGGCAUUAAUCCAACACAGAAGCUCAAGUUUGGUUCAAUGGUAUGUUGUCAAGAAUAUUUAUGUAGUUGUGCAAGGAAAGUUUCUUUCAUUUCUUUAUAUUGUCAAUUAACAAGGUAUAUGUAAAUUUUACAUGUUUGAUCGAUGCAAGUCUGCCCCAUAGGUUUGU
Molecule: long non-coding RNA, 607 nt
Filed under: Fragaria vesca (wild strawberry)
Lineage: Eukaryota; Viridiplantae; Streptophyta; Magnoliopsida; Rosales; Rosaceae
Description: long non-coding RNA (FVES_LNC002572)
Source: RNAcentral